AGUGAACGCUGGCGGUAGGCCUAACACAUGCGAGUCGAACGGCAGCACAGUAAGAGCUUGCUCUUACGGGAGGCGAGUGGCGGACGGGUGAGGAAUACAUCGGAAUCUACUUUUUCGUGGGGGAUAACGUAGGGAAACUUACGCUAAUACCGCAUAAGACCUACGGGUGAAAGCAGGGGAUCUUCGGCCCUUGCGCGAUUGAAUGAGCCGAUGUCGGAUUAGCUAGUUGGUGGGGUAAAGGCCCACCAAGGCGACGAUCCGUAGCUGGUCUGAGAGGAUGAUCAGCCACACUGGAACUGAGACACGGUCCAGACUCCUACGGGAGGCAGCAGUGGGGAAUAUUGGACAAUGGGCGCAAGCCUGAUCCAGCCAUACCGCGUGGAUGAAGAAGGCCCUCGGGUUGUAAAGCCCUUUUGGUGGGAAAGAAAAGCAGCAGGUUAAUACCCCGCUGUUCUGACGUUACCCAAAGAAGAAGCACCGGCUAACUUCGUG
This 492-nucleotide ribosomal RNA is filed under the name uncultured bacterium. RNAcentral's name for it is "partial 16S ribosomal RNA". It matches the Rfam family "Bacterial small subunit ribosomal RNA", at positions 29 to 507 of the family's 1533-position model. The record is from RNAcentral.